CCUCCUGAGCUACGUUGAUCUGGCUCAUGUUUCCAGAGGGCAACUGGAAGCUCUGAAAGAGGAAUCAUCUAGGACAUUCCUUGUCCUUCUUCCUUUGACAAUGUCUCCUGCAUAGUACUAGCUGUUAAGAAGGGCCUCACAUGCACCUCGCUGGCCCUCAAAGUUGCAGUAGUCCAUUCUCGUCAACCUAGGAUUACAGGAAUCCCUAGGAAAAAGCAAAUACCUCGCUUGGUGGGGGUGGAGGGGGGAGAUCGCGGACUCGCCGCCUGCAGCCUCUUUCCAAACUCCGCCCAAGAGUAGGAGCGCGGCUCCGCCGCUAGGGGACGCAGACGGACCACCGGCGCGCCUAGGGGGCGGGACCCGCCGUGGCUUCCGGCUUCCGGCCGAGAGGGUGGGACCCCGCGGCCGUCAUGGCAGCUGAAGAGAAGGACCCGUUGAGCUACUUCGCGGCUUACGGGAGCAGCAGCUCCGACUCGUCGGACGAGGAGGACAGCGAGCCGGAAGACGCGGGUCGCAAGCAGGCGGCCCCGGCGCCGACGGCGGGCGGCCGCGGGAAGCCGGCGGAGAAGCGGCUGCCGGGCCCGGACGAGCUGUUCCGCAGCGUGACCCGCCCGGCCUUCCUCUACAACCCGCUCAACAAGCAGAUCGACUGGGAGCGGCACGUGGUGAAGGCGCCCGAGGAGCUUCUCCCCGAGACCCCUUCCCUUUGACGCCGAAGUGCCUGCGCUGCUGCCUCCAAGACAGUGUCUCUGCUGCAGCCUCCUGGAAGGGGUCAGCCUGGCCGUAGUGUCUGAGACUGGAUUCUUCUUUGCCUCCAAAGGAAUUCAAAAUCUGGAAGUCCAAUUGUGUCCCACCCCCAGAGACGUACGCUACUGAGAAGAAGCCGCCGCCGCCAGAGCUGGACAUGGCGAUAAAAUGGUCGAACAUCUACGAAGACAAUGGAGACGAUGCCCCACAGAAUGCUAAGAAAGCCAGGCUUCUGCCUGAAGGGGAGGAGACCGUGGACUCAGAUGAUGACAAAGAUGAGCGUGCAUCUAAGAUUCGAAAAGUGGAGCCAGGAGAAGCAGCCAAGAAGAAGAAGUAGAGAGUGGUGUCCUGAGAUGUGUCCUUGGGCAGAGUGUUUGCUUUUGUGUGUCACUAUGACAGACAUCCCAUGAACAAGUUUAUGUUAACGAACUAACGAGCGUCGACUCAAGACUUUCCACUGUAGAACUCACUUUUUUAUUUAAAACCUGUAUGUAUUUACAACUCUAGUGGUGACCUGUGAUUGUGAACUGGCAGUACUUGGAAGCAUUCUGGCUAUCACAAAAUUGGUGACAGGCUUUGAGAGUUUGUCACAUGGACAUGCCAAUGUUCUAUGAACCUUUUAUAAAGGAAUAUAUUUUUAAAGUAAAUAUAUUGUAUUGUACUGUGAACUUGUGGGUGCUUUUCAUUAGUAUCUGUACAGUGUAAAUAGAUGAUCAUGGAAAUAAAAUUACUUAAUUCAACAUUGUUAUUACUGAAUGCCACUAAGAUAAGUAUGUGUGACAGGCAGCCUGCUUGCCCUGUGACAUUUUGAUUCACAGUGGGGAUUAGCAUGUAGGGAGCCUCCCACGUUCAGGUGCCUUGUGCAUACUUCUCUCCAGCAGUCCUGUGAAGAAAGUGACAUGAGAAUCCUCGGGUUUGUGCAGAGUUCUUGAGGAACUGGGCUGAGGGACACACAGCAGUGAGUGAAGAUGAGCAGUCACACACACAGGACUGACUCCAGUCAGGUGAAACCACCUGUUACUCACAGACUUCAGUCAUCUUCCAAGAACAUUAUCUUCUCUCCCAUGUGCACUUGGGCUAGGGGAGAUCUCAUACCCUGAUUAUGUAGUUGCACUUAUAUAUGCCUUAUAGUAUGCAUAUUCAUUUCUUCAUUAAAUAUACCGAACAUGAAGCUCUUCUAUGAAAGAUGACCAGAUUCAGUAAAGAGCAUAAGGUAUCCAAUUAAAUUUGAGUCUGUUUGAGUAUAUGUAAUAUAAGACACAUUAAAAACCAUCUGAAAUUCCAA
Mastomys coucha (southern multimammate mouse) is the source of this 2032-nucleotide RNA transcript. It is a transcript of the gene named chromosome unknown C1orf52 homolog, with no coding region annotated. Lineage: Eukaryota; Metazoa; Chordata; Mammalia; Rodentia; Muridae. The transcript has 6 exons. The record is from RefSeq and is a predicted model, not a curated record.